AGCGAACGCUGGCGGCGUGCCUAACACAUGCAAGUCGAACGUGAAAGGGAGCAAUCCCAAGUAAAGUGGCGUACGGGUGAGUAACACGAAGGGAAUCUACCCUAGAAUCGGGAAUAACCGGCCGAAAGGCAGGCUAAUACUGUAUAGAGCGACGGAAUCCGCAAUUGGGUUUGUCGGGAAAGGGAGCCUGUAAAAAGGCCUUCGUUCUGGGAUGAGCCUGCGUCCCAUCAGCUAGUUGGUGAGGUAAAAGCUUACCAAGGCAAUGACGGGUAGCUGGUCUGCGAGGACGGUCAGCCGCACUGGAACUGAGACACGGUCCAGAGUCCUACGGGAAGCAGCAGUAGGGAAUCUUGCGGAAUGGACGAAAGACUGACGAAGCAGCGCCGCGUGAGUGAAGAAGACCUUCGGGUUGUAGAGCUCUGUCGAGUGGGACGAAAAUGCUUGGAGUUGACAGCUACAGGAAGUGACGGUACCGCUAAAAGAAGCACCGGCUAACUACGUG
This 502-nucleotide ribosomal RNA is filed under the name uncultured bacterium. Its description in RNAcentral is "partial 16S ribosomal RNA". It matches the Rfam family "Bacterial small subunit ribosomal RNA", at positions 29 to 507 of the family's 1533-position model. The record is from RNAcentral.